GGAAAGGCGCGCGAUACAGGGUGACAGCCCCGUACACAAAAAUGCACAUGCUGUGAGCUCGAUGAGUAGGGCGGGACACGUGGUAUCCUGUCUGAAUAUGGGGGGACCAUCCUCCAAGGCUAAAUACUCCUGACUGACCGAUAGUGAACCAGUACCGUGAGGGAAAGGCGAAAAGAACCCCGGCGAGGGGAGUGAAAAAGAACCUGAAACCGUGUACGUACAAGCAGUGGGAGCACGCUUAGGCGUGUGACUGCGUACCUUUUGUAUAAUGGGUCAGCGACUUAUAUUCUGUAGCAAGGUUAACCGAAUAGGGGAGCCGAAGGGAAACCGAGUCUUAACUGGGCGUUAAGUUGCAGGGUAUAGACCCGAAACCCGGUGAUCUAGCCAUGGGCAGGUUGAAGGUUGGGUAACACUAACUGGAGGACCGAACCGACUAAUGUUGAAAAAUUAGCGGAUGACUUGUGGCUGGGGGUGAAAGGCCAAUCAAACCGGGAGAUAGCUGGUUCUCCCCGAAAGCUAUUUAGGUAGCGCCUCGUGAAUUCAUCUCCGGGGGUAGAGCACUGUUUCGGCAAGGGGGUCAUCCCGACUUACCAACCCGAUGCAAACUGCGAAUACCGGAGAAUGUUAUCACGGGAGACACACGGCGGGUGCUAACGUCCGUCGUGAAGAGGGAAACAACCCAGACCGCCAGCUAAGGUCCCAAAGUCAUGGUUAAGUGGGAAACGAUGUGGGAAGGCCCAGACAGCCAGGAUGUUGGCUUAGAAGCAGCCAUCAUUUAAAGAAAGCGUAAUAGCUCACUGGUCGAGUCGGCCUGCGCGGAAGAUGUAACGGGGCUAAACCAUGCACCGAAGCUGCGGCAGCGACACUAUGUGUUGUUGGGUAGGGGAGCGUUCUGUAAGCCUGUGAAGGUGUACUGUGAGG
RNAcentral lists this ribosomal RNA (921 nucleotides) under Escherichia coli. RNAcentral describes it as "partial 23S ribosomal RNA". It matches the Rfam family "Bacterial large subunit ribosomal RNA", at positions 344 to 1268 of the family's 2925-position model. Lineage: Bacteria; Pseudomonadati; Pseudomonadota; Gammaproteobacteria; Enterobacterales; Enterobacteriaceae. The record is from RNAcentral.